UGGGGAAUUUUGCACAAUGGGGGAAACCCUGAUGCAGCGACGCCGCGUGAUUUAGAAGGCCUUCGGGUUGUAAAAAUCUUUUCUAUGGGAAGAAAAUGACAGUACCAUAGGAAUAAGGACCGGCUAAUUACGUGCCAGCAGCCGCGGUAAUACGUAAGGUCCGAGCGUUGUCCGGAAUCAUUGGGCGUAAAGGGUACGUAGGCGGGUAAGCAAGUUAGAAGUGAAAUCCUAUAUCUCAACUAUAGUAAGCUUUUAAAACUGCUCAUCUUGAGGUAUGGAAGGGAAAGUGGAAUUCCUAGUGUAGCGGUGAAAUGCGCAGAUAUUAGGAGGAAUACCGGUGGCGAAGGCGACUUUCUGGCCAUAACCUGACGCUGAGGUACGAAAGCGUGGGUAGCAAACAGG
This 402-nucleotide ribosomal RNA is filed under the name bacterium. Its description in RNAcentral is "partial 16S ribosomal RNA". It matches the Rfam family "Bacterial small subunit ribosomal RNA", at positions 355 to 776 of the family's 1533-position model. The record is from RNAcentral.